Molecule: ribosomal RNA, 940 nt
Filed under: uncultured fungus
Lineage: Eukaryota; Fungi
Description: eukaryotic LSU rRNA
Rfam family: Eukaryotic large subunit ribosomal RNA (bases 544-940)
Source: RNAcentral
GUUUCGUAGGUGACCUGCGGAAGGAUCAUUAAUGAAUUUUGGUUGCGUGAGGGGAGCGAUCCGCGAGCGCGAUUAUUCAAUUAAAUCCUGUGAACUUGGAAAUUUUGUUUUUAUUGCUUGGCGGAGAGUCUGCUGUGGCCUAGUCCUGGCAGAGUCCCGCCAGCAGUAUAUUUAAACCAUGUUUGAUUGAGCUGUCUGAAAUAUCAUAUAAAAGCUUAAAACUUUCAACAACGGAUCUCUUGGUUCUCGCAUCGAUGAAGAACGCAGCGAAAUGCGAUACGUAAUGUGAAUUGCAGAAUUUGUGAAUCAUCGAAUCUUUGAACGCACAUUGCGCUCUCUGGUAUUCCGGAGAGCAUGCCUGUUUGAGCGUCAUUAAACUCCUCAAUCUCAUAACUUUUUUGCGCGAGAUUGGUUAUGGACAAUGUGCGGUAAGACCGUACUUGUCCGAAAUGGAUUGCAAAGAAAGACUUCGUAAUAAAAACUUAUUUUGUAUCGAAGACUUUUGGCAAUAAUAAGCAGCCCUUGUGGCAGCAAUUCUAAUUUUGACCUCAAAUCAGGUAAGACUACGCGCUGAACUUAAGCAUAUCAAUAAGCGCAGGAAAAGAAACCAACAGGGAUUCCCCUAGUAAUGGCGGAUGAAGCGGGAAAAGCUCAAAUUUGAAAUCUGGCUGUCGUUUGGCAGUCCGAGUUGUAAUUUCUAGAGACAGCUUUGGCUUCCCACAUUGCCCAAGUUCCUUGGAACAGGACGUCACAGAGGGUGAGAAUCCCGUGUGCGGCAUUGAAACAGGGGCUAUGUAUAGCGUCUUCAAAGAGUCGAGUUGUUUGGGAAUGCAGCUCAAAAUGGGUGGUAAAUUUCAUCUAAAGCUAAAUAUUGGCGAGAGACCGAUAGCGAACAAGUAGAGUGAUCGAAAGAUGAAAGAACUUUGAAAGAGAGUUAAAC